GACGAACGCUGGCGGCGUGCCUAAUACAUGCAAGUCGAACGAGAGCGCCCGGUGCUUGCACUGGUCCAUCUAGUGGCGAACGGGUGAGUAACACGUGGGUAACCUGCCCAUCAGAGGGGGAUAACAUCCGGAAACGGAUGCUAAAACCGCAUAGGUCUUCGAGCCGCAUGGCUCGAAGAGGAAAAGAGGCGCACGCUUCUGCUGAUGGAUGGACCCGCGGUGCAUUAGCUAGUUGGUGAGGUAACGGCUCACCAAGGCCGGGAUGCAUAGCCGGCCUGAGAGGGUGAUCGGCCACAUUGGGACUGAGACACGGCCCAAACUCCUACGGGAGGCAGCAGUAGGGAAUCUUCCGCAAUGGACGCAAGUCUGACGGAGCAACGCCGCGUGAGUGAAGAAGGUUUUCGGAUCGUAAAACUCUGUUGUUAGGGAAGAACAAGUGCUAGAGUAACUGUUAGCGCCUUGACGGUAUCUAACCAGAAAGCCACGGCUAACUACGUG
This 498-nucleotide ribosomal RNA is filed under the name uncultured bacterium. RNAcentral's name for it is "partial 16S ribosomal RNA". It matches the Rfam family "Bacterial small subunit ribosomal RNA", at positions 28 to 507 of the family's 1533-position model. The record is from RNAcentral.